UACGGAGGGUGCAAGCGUUGUUCGGAAUUAUUGGGCGUAAAGCGCGCGCAGGCGGUCGGGCAAGUCUAUGGGUGAAAUGCCGGGGCUCAACCCCGUGCAUGCCCAGGAUACUGCCCGACUGGAGACACGUAGAGGCAAGCGGAAUUUCGGGUGUAGCGGUGGAAUGCGUAGAUAUCCGAAAGAACACCGGAGGCGAAGGCGGCUUGCUGGGCGUGAUCUGACGCUGAGGCGCGAAAGCGUGGGGAGCGAACAGG
Molecule: ribosomal RNA, 254 nt
Filed under: uncultured bacterium
Lineage: Bacteria
Description: partial 16S ribosomal RNA
Rfam family: Bacterial small subunit ribosomal RNA
Source: RNAcentral